Molecule: ribosomal RNA, 497 nt
Filed under: uncultured bacterium
Lineage: Bacteria
Description: partial 16S ribosomal RNA
Rfam family: Bacterial small subunit ribosomal RNA
Source: RNAcentral
GAUGAACGCUGGCGGUGUGCCUAAUACAUGCAAGUCGAGCGAACAGACGAGGAGCUUACUCCUCUGACGUUAGCGGCGGACGGGUGAGUAACACGUGGAUAACCUACCUAUAAGACUGGGAUAACUUCGGGAAACCGGAGCUAAUACCGGAUAACAUGUUGAACCGCAUGGUUCAACAGUGAAAGACGGUCUUGCUGUCACUUAUAGAUGGAUCCGCGUCGCAUUAGCUAGUUGGUAAGGUAACGGCUUACCAAGGCAACGAUGCGUAGCCGACCUGAGAGGGUGAUCGGCCACACUGGAACUGAGACACGGUCCAGACUCCUACGGGAGGCAGCAGAAGGGAAUCUUCCGCAAUGGGCGAAAGCCUGACGGAGCAACGCCGCGUGAGUGAAGAAGGUCUUCGGAUCGUAAAACUCUGUUAUUAGGGAAGAACAAAUGUGUAAGUAACUAUGCACGUCUUGACGGUACCUAAUCAGAAAGCCACGGCUAACUACGUG